This 440-nucleotide ribosomal RNA is filed under the name uncultured bacterium. Its description in RNAcentral is "partial 16S ribosomal RNA". It matches the Rfam family "Bacterial small subunit ribosomal RNA", at positions 338 to 795 of the family's 1533-position model. The record is from RNAcentral.
CCUACGGGAGGCAGCAGUGGGGAAUAUUGCACAAUGGGGGAAACACUGAUGCAGCGACGCCGCGUGAGUGAAGAAGGAAUUCGUUAUGUUAAGCCCUAUCAGCAGGGAAGAAAAUGACGGUACCUGUGUCAGAAGCCCCGGCUAACUACGUGCCAGCAGCCGCGGUAAUACGUAGGGGGCAAGCGUUAUCCGGAUUUACUGGGUGUAAAGGGAGCGUAGACGGCAGUGCAAGUCUGGAGUGAAAGGCGGGGGCUCAACCCCCGGACUGCUCUGGAAACUGUACGUCUGGAGUGCAGGAGAGGUAAGUGGAAUUCCUAGUGUAGCGGGGAAAUGCGUAGAUAUUAGGAGGAACACCAGUGGCGAAGGCGGCUUACUGGACUGUAACUGACGUUGAGGCUCGAAAGCGUGGGGAGCAAACAGGAUUAGAUACCCGGGUAGUC